RNAcentral lists this transfer RNA (76 nucleotides) under Clostridiales bacterium. RNAcentral describes it as "tRNA-Lys". It matches the Rfam family "tRNA". From Rfam's summary of the family: Transfer RNA (tRNA) molecules are approximately 80 nucleotides in length. Their secondary structure includes four short double-helical elements and three loops (D, anti-codon, and T loops). Lineage: Bacteria; Bacillati; Bacillota; Clostridia; Eubacteriales. The record is from RNAcentral.
GAUUCAGUAGCUCAGCAGGCAGAGCACCUGCCUUUUAAGCAGGGUGUCCGGAGUUCGAAUCUCCGCUGAAUCACCA